Molecule: ribosomal RNA, 513 nt
Filed under: uncultured bacterium
Lineage: Bacteria
Description: partial 16S ribosomal RNA
Rfam family: Bacterial small subunit ribosomal RNA
Source: RNAcentral
GAUGAACGCUGGCGGCGUGCCUAAUACAUGCAAGUCGAGCGGACCAGAGAGAGCUUGCUCUCUGAGGUUAGCGGCGGACGGGUGAGUAACACGUGGGUAACCUGCCUGUAAGACGGGGAUAACUUCGGGAAACCGAAGCUAAUACCGGAUGAUAAAGAGAAACGCCUGUUUCUUUUUUGAAAGUCGGCCUUGUGCUGACGCUUACAGAUGGGCCCGCGGCGCAUUAGCUAGUUGGUGAGGUAACGGCUCACCAAGGCGACGAUGCGUAGCCGACCUGAGAGGGUGAUCGGCCACACUGGGACUGAGACACGGCCCAGACUCCUACGGGAGGCAGCAGUAGGGAAUCUUCGGAAAUGGACGAAAGUCUGACCGAGCAACGCCGCGUGAGCGAUGAGGGCCUUCGGGUCGUAAAGCUCUGUUGUCAGAGAAGAACAAGUACCGGAGUAACUGCCGGUACCUUGACGGUACCUGACCAGAAAGCCACGGCUAACUACGUGCCAGCCGCCGCAGUAA